This is a non-coding RNA of Glycine soja, 45 nucleotides long. The record is from Rfam. NCBI's taxonomy places the organism in Eukaryota, Viridiplantae, Streptophyta, Magnoliopsida, Fabales, Fabaceae.
AAAAGGGCUUCUUUUGAAGCCACCAUCUUUAGAAGUGGCAGAUAA